Molecule: RNase P RNA, 339 nt
Filed under: Bacilli bacterium
Lineage: Bacteria; Bacillati; Bacillota; Bacilli
Description: RNase P RNA component class B
Rfam family: Bacterial RNase P class B
About the family: Ribonuclease P (RNase P) is a ubiquitous endoribonuclease, found in archaea, bacteria and eukarya as well as chloroplasts and mitochondria. Its best characterised activity is the generation of mature 5'-ends of tRNAs by cleaving the 5'-leader elements of precursor-tRNAs.
Source: RNAcentral
AAUAUAAAGACAAACGCUGGAGUUCUUGAGACUCUUGAGGAAAGUCCAUGCUCGCACAGUCUGUGAUGACUGUAGUGUUCGUGCCUAGGGAAACCAUAACCUAGGGUAGUUUAACUAACGGCGGAUCCUAUUUCUAAGUCUUUGGAUAUGAAAUAGUCCAUAAAGUGCCACAGUGACGAUGCUUUUUGAAAGAAAAGAGUGAAACGUGGUAAACCCCGCGAGCGAGAAACCCAAAUUUGGUAGGGGAGUCCUAACGAAAGAAAUGAAUGGAGUUAGGGACUAGUAAUAGUAGAUAAAUGUUUGUCGCCUGGUAACAGGAACAGAACAUGGCUUAUUUAU